RNAcentral lists this unclassified non-coding RNA (292 nucleotides) under Hevea brasiliensis (rubber tree). Lineage: Eukaryota; Viridiplantae; Streptophyta; Magnoliopsida; Malpighiales; Euphorbiaceae. The record is from RNAcentral.
AAAAAAAAGGCAGACGUGAGAAAUCCAAGUUUUAUGAAAUCAAUGAGAUGCCCAAGUCAGACUUUCUGCCAAAUCGGUUAACAGUAGGACAUGGAUUCCUAAGAUAAUCUCUCCUCCGUCCCUCUUUGUCUCUCUCUCUUUUUGUCUGUGUGAUAAGAUGCUGAAGCUAUGGAAAUGGUACCAGCACUGCCUAUCUGUUCAUCCAGUGAAGACCCAAAUCAUUAGCUCAGGGAUUCUCUGGGGCAUUGGUGAUAUUGGUGCUCAAUACAUCACUCACUCAACCGCACUCAGC